This 427-nucleotide ribosomal RNA is filed under the name uncultured bacterium. Its description in RNAcentral is "partial 16S ribosomal RNA". It matches the Rfam family "Bacterial small subunit ribosomal RNA", at positions 354 to 796 of the family's 1533-position model. The record is from RNAcentral.
GUGGGGAAUAUUGGGCAAUGGGGGAAACCCUGACCCAGCGACGCCGCGUGAGGGAAGACGGCCUUCGGGUUGUAAACCUCUUUUGUACGGGAAGAAGGAAGUGACGGUACUGUACGAAUAAGUCCCGGCUAACUACGUGCCAGCAGCCGCGGUAAUACGUAGGGGACGAGCGUUGUCCGGAAUUACUGGGCGUAAAGGGCGCGCAGGCUGUGCUGCAAGUCAGCUGUGAAAUGUCUGGGCUUAACCCGGGCAUGCGGUUGAGACUGCAGUGCUGGAGUGCUGUAGAGGCAAGUGGAAUUCCCAGUGUAGUGGUGAAAUGCGUAGAUAUUGGGAAGAACACCGGUGGCGAAGGCGACUUGCUGGGCAGCAACUGACGCUGAGGCGCGAAAGCCAGGGGAGCAAACGGGAUUAGAUACCCUUGUAGUCC